RNAcentral lists this ribosomal RNA (586 nucleotides) under uncultured bacterium. Its description in RNAcentral is "bacterial SSU rRNA". It matches the Rfam family "Bacterial small subunit ribosomal RNA", at positions 114 to 688 of the family's 1533-position model. The record is from RNAcentral.
CACGUGGGGAACCUGCCCAUAAGAGGGGGAUAACAUCCGGAANCGGGUGCUAAUACCGCAUAGGUGAUCAUAGCGCAUGCUUAGAUCAUUAAAGAUGGCUUCGCUGUCGCUUAUGGAUGGCCCCGCGGCGUAUUAGCUAGUUGGUGAGGUAAUGGCUCACCAAGGCUGUGAUACGUACCGACCUGAGAGGGUGAUCGGCCACACUGGAACUGAGACACGGUCCAUACUCCUACGGGAGGCAGCAGUAGGGAAUCUUCCACAAUGGGCGAAAGCCUGAUGGAGCAAUACCGCGUGAGUGAAGAAGGUCUUCGGAUCGUAAAGCUCUGUUGUUAGAGAAGAACAANACGCGUAGUAACUGGCACCUCCUUGUACGGUAUCUAACCAGAAAGUCACGGCUAACUACGUGCCAGCAGCGCGGUAAUACGUAGGUGACAAGCGUUGUCCGGAUUUAUUGGGCGUAAAGCGAGCGCAGCGGUCUUUUAAGUCUGAUGUGAAAGCCCACGGCUCACCCGUGGGAGGGGUCAUUGGAAACUGGACGACUUGAAUGCAGAAGAGGAAAGUGGACUUCCAUGUGUAGCGGUGAAUG